GCAGGCGUAGCUUCAAUGGUAGAGCGCUGCCUUGGUAAGGCAGAGGUUAUGGGUUCAAUCCCCAUCGCCUGCU
Molecule: transfer RNA, 73 nt
Filed under: Thermotoga sp.
Lineage: Bacteria; Thermotogati; Thermotogota; Thermotogae; Thermotogales; Thermotogaceae
Also listed under: 2 other names
Description: tRNA-Thr
Rfam family: tRNA
About the family: Transfer RNA (tRNA) molecules are approximately 80 nucleotides in length.
Source: RNAcentral